Molecule: ribosomal RNA, 796 nt
Filed under: uncultured archaeon
Lineage: Archaea
Description: bacterial SSU rRNA
Rfam family: Archaeal small subunit ribosomal RNA
Source: RNAcentral
ACGGCUCAGUAACACGUGGAUAACCUGCCCUUGGGUCCGGCAUAACCCCGGGAAACUGGGGAUAAUUCCGGAUAACGCAUAUAUGCUGGAAUGCUUUAUGCGUAAAAUGGAUUCGUCUGCCCAAGGAUGGGUCUGCGGCCUAUCAGGUAGUAGUGGGUGUAAUGUACCUACUAGCCGACAACGGGUACGGGUUGUGAGAGCAAGAGCCCGGAGAUGGAUUCUGAGACAUGAAUCCAGGCCCUACGGGGCGCAGCAGGCGCGAAAACUUUACAAUGCGGGAAACCGUGAUAAGGGGACACCGAGUGCCAGCAUCAUAUGCUGGCUGUCCAAGUGUGUAAACUACACCUGUUAGCAAGGGCCGGGCAAGACCGGUGCCAGCCGCCGCGGUAACACCGGCGGCCCGAGUGGUGAUCGUGAUUAUUGGGUCUAAAGGGUCCGUAGCCGGUUUGGUCAGUCCUCCGGGAAAUCUGACGGCUCAACCGUUAGGCUUUCGGGGGAUACUGUCAGGCUUGGAACCGGGAGAGGUAAGAGGUACUACAGGGGUAGGAGUGAAAUCUUGUAAUCCCUGUGGGACCACCUGUGGCGAAGGCGUCUUACCAGAACGGGUUCGACGGUGAGGGACGAAAGCUGGGGGCACGAACCGGAUUAGACACCCGGGUAGUCCCAGCCGUAAACGAUGCUCGCUAGGUGUCAGGCAUGGCGCGACCGUGUCUGGUGCCGCAGGGAAGCCGUGAAGCGAGCCACCUGGGAAGUACGGCCGCAAGGCUGAAACUUAAAGGAAUUGGCGGGGGAGCAC